RNAcentral lists this long non-coding RNA (1192 nucleotides) under Anneissia japonica. RNAcentral describes it as "uncharacterized LOC117116315, transcript variant X2". The record is from RNAcentral. Lineage: Eukaryota; Metazoa; Echinodermata; Crinoidea; Comatulida; Comatulidae.
UUUCUCACUAUAAUUUGAUGUAAAAUUAUCUCAUAUUUGACUGGUAAAUUAGUAUCGGAUGGUAUUUUAUCUACAGUAUAUUGGCAAGAUAUCCAUCCAGGAUUUUAAAACACUGAUCACCAGCUAGCAAAUUAAGGUGUGACACACUGCCUGCUACUUCCUGCUAAGUGGAGGUUUAUGAUUGGCUGAAUAAGUCCAGGAAGAAAGGAGGAAAAUUAUCAAAAGUGAAGAAAGCAUGCCACAUCUCACCAAGCUUAAUUGUGUAAAAUUCAAUGGCAUUCCACCAAGAUUGCUGAUGAGUUCUGCAGACUUAGCUGAGACUUUUGGACAGAUGCAGCAUUGUAGGAACAUGUGGUCAUUCUUACCACUACCUCGGUUUGGUAAUAACUUAAACCACCGCUUGAACUCUCCUGCUCCCGGAAGCGAUGCAUAAAUUAAGGAUUAGUAAAAGUGAGAAUACCACCAGUGGAUCAUAAUGUAGUAAAGACGUGGAUGUAUGCAAUGCAGUCCAGGACUGAAAUCCAUGGUCAGUAGAUCCCUUAUGCUGUCUGGGAGAUCUUUAACUGUGCUGCCUGGAAGAUCUCCAACCACAGUAUGAGAUCUUUAACUACAGUAUGCUGUCUGGGAGAUCUGAGAUCUCUAACCGCAGUAUGAUGUCUGGGAGAUCUCUAACUGCAGUAUGCUGCCUGGGAGGUCUCUAUGGACACAUUCCGCGAGGUUUGUUUACAGCCAGUCACGUGACAUAUAGUGGGUAUUACUAUGGAGAAUUUACAGUGCGAUCAGUGUUAAGGUAUAGGAAAGAACACGUUAUAUUUUCAUUUCGGACUUAUAAAAUCCGCAUACGCCUCAAACUAAAAGAAAAUGCUUACGUUUAGAGUCCAUACUGAGCCCAAAAAAUCUGCAAUGAAAAUAUAACGUGUUAAAGGAUAAUGUUAUGGUUUCGCAAAAAUUCCCCCCCCCCCCCCCCAUUAAUGUGAGAAAUAACUGGCAAGGAAAGGAACUACGAUUGUUCAAAAUAGUGUGUAUUUACUUGUUCUAACAUUCUAUGUGCUUUGUAUGCUUUUGAAUUUAUGUGAUCUUUCAUAAACCUAAGCUAGCCUAGAAAUCCUAGUGUGUCAAAAUCGUGUGCAUACCUAAACAGGCUGUAGACAUGCAGGGGUCUAGGCCUAGCAUUUUUCGAAAAAUUUCAAUG